CGUUAUAACGGUAUGAUCGUUGCUACGUUUGUUGCCAAGAAUACUCAUACACACAGCCCUUAGAGAUAGAAAGUGAGUCGGUUCUAGAGAGACAGAGAAACGGUAGACAAUAGACCGAUGGUGGCGGAGCCGACAAUGCCCUCCGAUCGGCCUCCUUAUCCCGGCUACGCAGUUCUUCGAUGAUGAUGGUGGUGGUGGUGUUGCUUGUGGGUUUAACGUCGGCGGCAUAGAUCGGAAAAUAUGGGGGACGGCGGAACGAAGAUGGUGACUAGGCUGUGGUGGCGGAAACCUCGAAGAAACCAGAGUUUGCUCUAACACAAGAUGUUGUUUCAGUUUGGGAGUUUCAAAUAUUAUGAAACAAAACUUUACGGCGAGUGCUGCUGUUUGGUUCGGUUCAGUUUUGAGCCUUAACUGAACCAAAACUGAAGUGUUCCAUCUCGGGUAAUCGGUUUCGGUUAAUUUGCUUAAUCGAGUAUGCCUUAACCGUGUACGUAUGUUGUUCUUAUUUAUAUACAAUUGAAGUUAGAAUUUUUUGAUUGUUAUAUAUGCUUUUGGUUCUAUUUACUUAUUUGAGCAUGAUGUAUCAUGUAUGUCAAAUGAUAUUGGCACCAAAAGUUACAGAGGUGA
Helianthus annuus (common sunflower) is the source of this 627-nucleotide long non-coding RNA. RefSeq lists it as uncharacterized. NCBI's taxonomy places the organism in Eukaryota, Viridiplantae, Streptophyta, Magnoliopsida, Asterales, Asteraceae. The transcript is spliced from 2 exons. The record is from RefSeq and is a predicted model, not a curated record.